CUUCUCUCUCCAUUGAAGUGGAUCUGUCAUGGGACUCAGAAAGCUAUACCAUUUUUGUCCUCAAGAUUGCUAUAAUCAGAGCCCAGUCACAGUUUCAGAGUUCAUUAGUGUAAAGACAUGAUGGGGGACUAUUUCAUCAUGACCAUAUCCAAGUCUACAUCCAUCCCAGGAGUCUCAUAACAUGGGGCAGCGCUAGAAGCCAUUUCUCCCACAGCAGUCAAUUGUCCACUGAGGCUUCACCUUCCUUCAAUGUGUCUACUGAGAAACCACUGGCUUCAACACCUUUGACGUGGAGCUCUACUUUCCCAGCUGGAAUGUAAUCAUUGUUUACGAUGUAUAUUUACCAGAAACCAAAUAC
Long non-coding RNA from Labeo rohita (rohu), 358 nucleotides. RefSeq lists it as uncharacterized. NCBI's taxonomy places the organism in Eukaryota, Metazoa, Chordata, Actinopteri, Cypriniformes, Cyprinidae. The transcript is spliced from 3 exons. The record is from RefSeq and is a predicted model, not a curated record.